GCCGUUGGUUGGUCUGGCCCCAAAAUUCAAAAUUUUCGACCGUUAUAGAUCCCCUUUUCUCUUCUUCUCUACCUUCAUUUACUACCAAAGAUACUCUCUUCUUCGCCUAACCUAAUCAGCGAAAAGCCCAAGUACUCCUUACUUCCCAAUUCCACCCUCUAUCUCUAAUCGGAAUUAAUUUCCUAUGGCGGUGGCCAGAGAACCCAGCGGCGCAGACGUCAUAGCAAUGACAAUGAUAGACGAGACCUAUGAGUUUUCAGCACCAAGAUUCUACGAUUUCAUAAAGGGUGAAUCAGAGGAAGAUAAGCGUAAAGCCGAACUCUGGUUUGACACCGCUCUCAGCUACGCCCCUUCCCCUUUUAUGCCGAGAAUUAAGACAGGAAGAUCAUUUAAGGUUGAGAGCUUAUGUGAUUUUAGUGAAGCGGACCAAAUGCCAAAGGUCACAGAAUCAUCAGAUUCAGCAGCUGCUAGUUCUUCCUCAGAGAUUAAAUCUCAAUCAGAGGUCAUGCCACCUACUGAAACUAGGGAAGAAGAAACAACACUUUAUGAGGCAAACAAAGAAAACAAUGCAAACCUUGUUGUCAAUGGUUCUUGUCAGCAGGAUAAGGAAACCAUAUGCAGUGAAGAAACCAAAAGAAGCUCUACUUCUAUCCAAAUUGAACCUGCUGCCCAUGGUAGAGAGAACAGUAAAACUGAAACUUGCUGCACCCCUAAGCCGCCACAGAUGUCUUCUCAAAAGGAAGGUCGACUCAAUUCCAAGAAGCACCAAUCAGCUAAACACAUAGCUAGUUUGGUAAGGAAUCCAUCAGCACUGAAGAUGAAGAGUCAACCACUGUCCUCACAAGUUAAAGGCUCUAGACCAGAAAGUGUCAGAAGAGAUGCAAAUGUAAAAAAUGCAUCUGGGACUCCCAAUUUAGCUCAAGAGAACCAGGCCAUUAAACGCCAGAAGCUGGAAGGAGGAAGAUCCAGACAGAUUCUUAAUGUUAAACCCCCACAACCAUUGCAUCACAAGUCAAAACUGGGUCUCAGAAGUGGCCAUUCCAUUUCAUCUGUUGCUAAUAAAAUGCAGAAAGAAGGGAGAAAGGUUUACGUUCGGGAAUCAGCAGCACCAACACCAUUUGUUUCAAUGGCAGAGAUGAUGAAAAAGUUCCAAUCAAGUACUAGAGACUUAUCAUUGCCACGGAAUAAAAGUUCUCUCUCACAGGGUGAUGCUGCUUCUGUUAUCCAGAGGAAACCUCAACUCACAUUGACAAGGCCUAAGGAGCCUGAACUUGAAACAGCUCAACGUGUUCGCUCAGUCAGAAUAAAAAGUACUGCAGAGCUUGAAGAAGAGAUGAUGGCCAAAAUUCCAAAGUUCAAAGCUAGACCUCUAAACAAGAAGAUUUUGGAGGCUCCAACACUGCCUGCAUUACCAAGAAGUACACCACAACCACCUGAAUUUCAGGAAUUUCAUCUUGAAACAACAGCAAGGGCCACUCAGAAUGCAGAAUCAGCUUCCGUGGCCUCAACAGAGGUGUCCCAUCAGAAUAAUCAGUGGAAGCCUCACCUUACUGAACCUAAAACUCCUCUUCUUCACACUAAUUUGAGGGCCCGGCCACCAAAGGUGAAAAGUUCUUUGGAGCUUGAGAAGGAGGAACUUGAAAAAAUCCCUAAAUUUAAGGCUAGGCCUUUGAAUAAGAAGAUAUUUGAAAGUAAAGGAGAACUGGGGAUUUUCUGCAAUGCAAAGAAACAAGUCACUAUACCUCAAGAAUUUCACUUUGCCACAAAUGAGAGGAUUCCGCCACCAGCUGAUUUUGCUGAUAUGUUUGACAAGCUUUCAUUAAACUUGGAACCCCGCAUUGACAAUCCAGUUCCAAGAAACACACUACCAAAUCCAUUCCAUCUCCACACUGAGGAAAGGGGGGCUGAGAAGGAUAGGAAAUUUGUAAUGGACCUGAUGCAGAAGCAGCUGGAUGAGGAAAGAGCCAGGAUUCCGAAGGCUAAUCCAUAUCCUUAUACUACUGACUAUCCUGUGAUUCCUCCUAAACCGGAGUCAAAACCAUGCACAAAACCAGAACCUUUCCAGUUGGAGAGUCUAGUGAGACAUGAGGAGGAAAUGCGAAGGGAAAUGGAUGAAAGACAGAGGAUUGAGAAAGAAGAGGCCAAUACGAGGAUAUUCAGAGCACAGCCAGUCAUAAAAGAGGACCCAAUGCCACUACCAGAGAAAGUGCGGAAACCCCUUACACAAGUUCAACAAUUUAAUCUCCACACGGAUCACAGGGCUGUUGAUAGAGCAGAAUUUGAUCAACAGGUGAAGGAGAAAGAACAAUUAUACAAGAGAUACAGAGAGGAAAGUGAAGCUGCAAGAAUGGUAGAGGAAGAGAAGGCACUAAAACAAUUGAGGAGAACAAUGGUUCCUCAUGCAAGGACUGUGCCAAGCUUUGACCAUCCAUUCUGCCCCAAGAAAUCUUCCAAGGAAACCACAAAAGCAAAAUCACCAAAUUUGCGGGUGCUUCGAAGGAGGGAAAGGCAGAAGAUGAUAAAUAAUGCAGUUUCCAGCCCCGCUUCAUGGAUGAGGUGAUUGAUGGGCUGCUGUUCAAGAACUCUUGAACUUCCUUUCCUCCGGAUUUGUUGUAGUUGUUUCAGAAUGGAAAGCAAUUUACUGAGUGAUGAAAAAUAUGCAAAAUUUGCUCGCAGUAGCAACUGUUAUUAGAAGAUAAAGUGUUGUAGUCUUAACUUUCUGUGCAUUAAUGAAACUUCUUGUCAAUUUAUUUAUUCCCGAAAUUCUCCCCUGCUCAGAGUUAAUUACCAAAUUAAAUUGCCCCAAGUCUGAAAAUUGCAGCUUUUCAAGGAAGGAAAGGCACAGUCGUCUGAGAAUGGAAAGCAAGUAAUGUACGCUAGCAAAAUCAGAAUAUGCACGCUAGCAAAAUUUAUCAGAAUAUGUGUCGUCAUCCUCAAAUUUCUUAUGGCUGUAGGGGGCAAGAAUGCAUCAAUGAAGAAAAUUGUUGGGAAGGUACAUUGUAAAUCUGUUCCUGAAAUUCUCUCCCAGAGUCUCAAUUACCAAAGUUGCCCUAAAGAUACAAGAAUUCAGAAAAAAUUUUAGCUGGAAUAAAUGAUCCUGUGAGAAACUGUUUUUUUUGGGUUAAAAAAACAAUACACAAUCCAGGUCUUAGGUUUUAGGAAAAGCUUUCCAUUGUCAAGGAGCUCAAAUCUCAUUUCGAAAUCUCAACAGAUAUUUACAUGCAACUACAAACUGUUAAUGGACCUUUUCUUCCUCCUACAAAAACAUCACAAAUUUGCUAAGCAGUCUCCUUCUUCCGAUAUGCUAGAAUCAAAUGAUCUCUACUGGAAGUGCAAUUGGCUUUAAGAUGUGCCAAAGUUUCCUGCCCUUUCAAAAUUUGCAGUUCAUCCACUGAAAUUGGUGGAUGCAGAGAGGAUAGGUUGUCAUUAGGGUUGUGCUGCCCUUUAACUAAAAAUAUUUCAACUUCUUCAGGCUCCAAAGCCUUUUUGCGAGCAAUAUACUGCAUGAUAUCAUAUAGAAAAGCAAGCAGCAAAUACAAUGUCAAAAUAUGCACACAAAUUGAUGCUUUAUAUUAAUGAUCUUUCCAAACCCCAAAGAAAAAGAAAAUAAAAUGCACGCGCCAAUUUAAGUUUUAAACACCUAAAAUGUCAUGCCAUCAACUCCUGAAUAUAACAUAUUAUCUUUUUAAAACAUUCUUAACACAUUUUCUUUGACAAAUGCUGGAAUCAGACAAACUUUGGGUUGAUGGAUAUGAGCAAAUGGUAGUCUAAUAUGUAAUCAUAUUCCAUAAUCCAUCUAGCCAGGGUGGAUAUCAAGGCAAAUUUUCAAAUUUUAUUUCUCUACAAUAACACAUUCCAAGAAUUAAGGUGGUGCGAAAGAAAUCUCACUUCGCAUAGGUGUUUGACUGACAAACUGGGGCGACAGCAAAGGUAGGGCUGUUUCAAAUUCAUAAAACUUUCAUUGUCCAUGGAAAUAAGCAUGAGGUGAACAUCCAACUCAUCAUUAUUUUCCUCUAAGCUCCUGAGAUAUUCUACCAGCUUGGAUAAGCGAGUGCUUCUGGCAUUCUUGUUGUUGCAACUGCUAGCAUUACCAUGCCGUGUAUGACUUCGAGCACCACCCCUGCCCCAGGCAAGCAUUUCUGUAUUCCAAACAAGCCCAGGAGAUAUUCCUCUGUUCUCUCUGGUGGCUUCUAAAUCAUUUUCAAUGCAUCCAGCCUCUGGAUUUGAAGCCGACGAAGAAGGCUGACAAGGCCUAAUUCCUGGCCGUCUCUUGCGCCUGCGCUGCCUUACUUCUGUGGAGCGAUCAUCAGUAGAAGAUGAAUCCUUACCUCCAUUAUCAUCAUUUUCAUCCUCAAUGUCUUCUGAUCCUUGAAAUUCAGUGCCUCGGCUGUUUCGCCUCCUCCUUGAAGGAAUUGUCCGAUGAAUGCGCUGUGAUCUUUCCAUGAACGGACCAGUUGUUUCUUUACCCAUUGUGCGUCUCCUAACUAGUGCUUCAGAUUGUCGUUGAAAUAUUUGGGCAAUUGAAGCUUGGAUCUGCUUGUUUCGUGUCCUUUCCUCCUCAUGAAAAGCCAAUUCCUCCUCCUCAUACUUAUCAAUGUCUGGAUAUAGAGCAGCAAUUAAGGCAUCAUAAUUUGGAUCAUCUCUCAAAGAACGCCGACUUGCACAGUGUGUGCGGCAAGCAGGGCACUCAUUAUUCCCAAGUCGCAUUGAUUUGUCAAUGCAUUCCCUGCAAAAACGGUGCAGACAUUCCAUCACUGUUCGUGUUUUUUUUAUGAUACCUAGACAUAUUGGGCAUUGUACAUCUUUACGAAUGUCUGGCAAAUCCACAAAGACAAAUCUGCAAAUGAAACUAAAAAUUUUAAUUAGCUUUCUACGCCUAAUCACUGAUAAAUAUAAGCACUUAAAUAUAUUGAUGAAUAAAGCACACACAAUCUAUUGCCACUAGGGCAGUACAUGUUUCUGCAAGUUGCAUGUUUGCAUACAGAACAUAGUAAAUAAUUGGUUUGCUUUGCUCUACUUAAUAGCAUGAAUGCUUCAAACAAUUAUUCCCAUGCCUACAACUCAAGAGGAAAAAGCAAAUAAAAAAUUAUGAGGAUAUGAUACUUGUUUUCUCUUUUGAAGACACUAAAUUUUAAAACAAAAAAUUUCUCCACACUGAGCAGUUUAAACAGGAUCAACAUGCCAAAGUGCAUGCUUAAAUUAACAGAUCAUAUGAAAAUAGAGGAAGCAAGACUUGAACAAAUUUAAUAUAACAUGUCAGUAAAAAGGAUGUGAAGGGUAAGGUAGUUGAGAUGAGAAGCUUACAGUUUAGAAGAAAAGAUAGGAGAAGGAAAGUGAUAAUAAAACACAAACUGUAAUAAACUCAGACGAAUUAGCAAAUGAAUGAUUUCCAAAAAAAAAAAAAAAAUGAGGGCGUCCUUUGAGGAAUUUGUUAUGGUUUCAUGGUUAGAUCUAAAAUGCUAUAUUCAAGAAAAUGCUGAGCAGAUACUUUAUAGAACAGGCACAGAAAUUUAUCACGGACAUGGAUUAGGGAACCUUGCAUGAACAUUGUUGAUAUCCUCAAUUAUUUCUGGUGUCAGCUCAACCUUGCAACCAUUGAGAGUCUCCUGGAGCUGCCAUGACCUGGUAGCUCCAAAUAUAGUGCUUGCAACAAGAGGGUGUCUCAAAACAAAAGCAAUUGCAAGAGAUACAGGAUGAAGACCAUGUUUUCUUGCAAUAUCAAGGUAUCCCAUAGUAGCUGCUUUUACCAUGUUAUUUGAUAGGUUGUAUCUUGAUUCCCCUUCUGAAUAUCUUCCUUUGAAAAGAUUUAACCGGGCAUUUACUGGACCUCCAUUAGGUGCAAAAUACUUCCCAGAAAGUAUGCCCAUUGCAAGGGGGCUGUAUGCCAAUAAACUGAUCCUGAAGAAUUCAAGAAUACAAUGAAAGUCCAAUUAUUAGAAUGAGGGGAUCUCUGGAAACCAUUUUCAAUAACAAAACCCACACAAUGUUAGAUCACAUACAGCAGAUUCUACUGAACAAAAAUUGUGCUAAAGCUACUUCCCAUUGAACUCCACCCAUAAUAAAAGAAAAACCAUGUCUUAACUUGGAAUUGUAGUUUUGCUUCCUAAUGUUUGUUUGAAACAAGUUGGACCACCAAUUGCUAUGAAAAAUAAACAACAAAGAGUAUCAAAUGUAAUGAAAAUUUCCCUUGUUUCAGGAUCAUCACAAGAAAUUCCUUUACUAGAACAAUGAUGAUGUUCUCCAUACAAUGCAGAUGAAACUUUUCCCUACAUUUUAAUUCUAACCUUAGUAUGUAUUCACAGGAACACAACAUACCCCUCAUGAUGACAGCACUCAGCUAGUGCAGAAUCAAAAGUCCAGCAGAGCAAGCUGUACGAGUUCUAUCAUUAAGACAAUAGAUUGUGCAUUAGCCUCAGCAUGAAUAAUGCACAUGUGCGCACAUGACCACAAACAAACACACAGAGGAGAGGGGCAGUUGAACAAGGACAAGAGCAGCAAGCAUCACUCGCUGAGAAGGAACAACUGAUACUACCUGCACAGAAACUAUUUUCGGAUACCAAGUUGCCCUUUCAGCAAGCUGAAGGAACUUCAUGAUACCAUAUGGUGUUUCAUUACUAAGUCCAAUGUAUCUGACCUUGCCAGCAUCAACAGCUCGGCCAAGCGCAUCAAGUUGUUCCUCUAUACUGAUUGAACAGAACUGUUGGGUAGGAUGAUAUUCUGUUUCUCCAAACAUUGGAACAUAGCUACAGAAACAACCAUAAUUCACUUCAAAAAGACAGCAUAGAGUGGGAACUUUAAAAAAGUAGAGAGACUAUUUGCAGGAACUACAAUUAUGUUCACUGGUAACAUCUACUCUGCUUUCAAUAAUACACCACUCCACCUUACUGCCACCUCCCAUCCACAACCAAAAAACUAAUGAGUUACGGAAGAAAGAAAAAGGAGCAGGAUCUACAUACAAACCGAUCAGGCCAGUGAAUUUGAUAGAGAUCAAUGUAGUCCAUUUGCAUUCGUUGCAAACUAUUGUCAAUGGCCUCAGUAAUAUUCUUGGCAUCCAAAUGCUUAGGUCCGCCUCGGAUCCAAAUCAUUUGUCCUGACGGUCCAGUAACCUUGGUUGCUAAGACAACCCGGUCCCGUGGAAUCUUCCUUUCUCUAAUCCAACGGCCAAGGUACUCCUCGCUCCUCCCCUGAGUCUCAGCACGUUGAGGCACGGGAUACAUUUCUGCUGAAUCGAAGAAGUUGAUUCCGGCAUGGAAGACUUCAUCUAGAAGGCGAAAGGAUUGAGGCAACGAGUUUUGCUCACCAAAUGUCAUUGUUCCUAAGCAAAGCCUUGAAACUGUCAAAUUAGGAGCGAGGUUGAAGAAAGGAACAGACAUUUCAACUGUGAUGGCUGGAAAUUCACUACGUUCUGCUGGUAGCAAGUCUCUGCUAUUGUGGAUAGAAUC
RNAcentral lists this unclassified non-coding RNA (7442 nucleotides) under Hevea brasiliensis (rubber tree). The record is from RNAcentral. Lineage: Eukaryota; Viridiplantae; Streptophyta; Magnoliopsida; Malpighiales; Euphorbiaceae.